Molecule: ribosomal RNA, 253 nt
Filed under: uncultured bacterium
Lineage: Bacteria
Description: partial 16S ribosomal RNA
Rfam family: Bacterial small subunit ribosomal RNA
Source: RNAcentral
UACGGAGGGUGCAAACGUUAAUCGGAAUCACUGGGCGUAAAGCGCACGUAGGCGGUUCGUUAAGUGGGAUGUGAAAGCCCUGGGCUCAACCUGGGAAUUGCGUUCCAAACUGACGGGCUAGAGUACGAUAGAGGGAGGUAGAAUUUCCUGUGUAGCGGUGAAAUGCGUAGAUAUAGGAAGGAAUACCUGUGGCGAAGGCGGCCUCCUGGAUCGAUACUGACGCUGAGGUGCGAAAGCGUGGGGAGCAAACAGG